UGUGUCGCGACACGUGGGCAAGUAUGGGUGAUACCAUUAUCAACAGGGAGAAAGGGGGAACCCUGCCUGUGAAUCUGAUCUAGGCUCUACGUGGGUGAAUCCCCUGUAUUGCGGGAGAAUCGGGCUCCUGUCAGACUUUGCUCUGUCCCUGCAGAGAGGCUCACAGAGCCGCUAGGGCGCGAUCGUCUGUACGCGGAACUUAGAUGGGUGGUUCCGUCCCCCUUUCUGGGCUGAGUUGGGCUCUCCCGGCUUUACCUACCAAUAGUCGCCCAGGAGAGCCCGCCCACGUGACCCGUUUGGCGCGGAAUUUUCUCGGGGUUCAGGGGCUGGCGGAAGGUGCUUCCGGAAGAAAAGUGGGGGAGCAGCAGCAGCCGGUGAAGCAGCGUCAUGUCCUCGCCGGCCUCCACACCGAGCCGCCGCGGCAGCAAGCGCGGGCGGAGCAGCAACCCCCCGACUCCACACACUGAAGAUGCUCAGUCUCCUCUUUCACAAAAAGGUCAAACAGAUGACUCCACAUCUACAGGAGAUCUACAGCCAAUGCCAACUUCUCCAGCAGUUGGCAUGCAAAGCCCAAAUGCUCAAGAUGUUCUGUUUUCCAGCCCACUACAAUUUUGGUUAUGGUUGUCAGUAGUAGGAGCAAAAUGCUGAUAUCUGUAUAUUAUUGGCUAUUAAAUGGCGUAGACGGAAAGAUUUAUUUUAGGCUUUUACAUAGCUGUCAAUUUAAAAACAAAAAGGGCCUUUUGAAUGAACAGGAUUGUUUUCAAUUACAGUUCACCUCUGACCUAUGGCACUCCCAGCUCUAGAGUGGAGGGUACUCCAAGGAGUGGUGUGCGAGGAACUCCAGUUAGGCAGAGGCCAGAUCUUGGAUCUGCCCGCAAAGCCAGACAGGUGGACUUGCAUUCUGAUGAGCCAGCAAAGGAUGCAUUGGCAAGUGAACAAUCUCUUGGACAAAAGCUUGUCAUCUGGGGAACAGAUACUAUUGUAGCUUCAUGCAAAGUUAAGUUGCAGCCAGCCUGCUUGAUGGCCCAUUAAGGACAAUCAGCUCUUCUAGAGACCCCCUCCUGAGAUCCCUUCAGGCAGCAUCUAGGCACUGAAUGCCUCAUGACUGAGCACGUGACCCAGGACACCAUGUUUGCACCAGGCAUUCUGCUUCAACUGUUUGGGGGAUCAAGAAAAUAUUUGAGUCAUACCAGAAGAGGAAGUUUUCGUGCUGAGAUCAACAUUCUUCUGUGUGGUGAUCCUGGCACUAGUAAAUCACAGCUGCUUCAAUAUGUCUAUAACCUGGUUCCUAGAGGCCAGUACACAUCAGGGAAGGGCUCUAGUGCAGUUGGUCUUCAUUGGUGUAAUGAAGGACCCGGAGACAAGGCAGCUGGUUCUGCAGACAGGUGCUCUGGUUCUCAGUGACAAUGGCAUUUGCUGCAUCGAUGAAUUUGAUAAAAUGAAUGAAAGUACAAGAUCAGUACUGCAUGAGGUAAUGGAACAACAGACUCUAUUGCCAAGGCUGUCACUAAAGGAAUGUUCGAAGAAGCACUUCGUGCCUUGGCUGACGAUGACUUCUUGACUGUGACUGGAAAGACUGUUAGAUUGCUGUAAUGAAAUGCUAGCUUAACAGCAGAGUUUUACUGUUUUUUCCAAGUACUUCUUUUGAGACCUUUCACAUUUAAGAAUAUUAUUCACUGUGGUCAAAUUCAUGUUGGUGAUCUGUUGGUGAACACCAUUGCCAGCACUGUAAAUAACUAGAUACUGAAGGACUGCAAAAAGCUGAAAUUAAACGCAGUGAUAUUUGUUUGAACAAAAUGGGUUACUAACAUUUCAUUGCAAUGUGUAUUUUCAAUAAAGUGCUUUGUAGAACAA
This is an RNA transcript of Mauremys reevesii (Reeves's turtle), 1854 nucleotides long. It is a transcript of the gene named DNA replication licensing factor mcm4-like, with no coding region annotated. The transcript is spliced from 8 exons. The record is from RefSeq and is a predicted model, not a curated record. NCBI's taxonomy places the organism in Eukaryota, Metazoa, Chordata, Testudines, Geoemydidae.